CCUACGGGAGGCAGCAGUGGGGAAUAUUGGACAAUGGGGGGAACCCUGAUCCAGCGACGCCGCGUGAGUGAAGAAGUAUUUCGGUAUGUAAAGCUCUAUCAGCAGGGAAGAAAGAAAUGACGGUACCUGACUAAGAAGCCCCGGCUAACUACGUGCCAGCAGCCGCGGUAAUACGUAGGGGGCAAGCGUUAUCCGGAUUUACUGGGUGUAAAGGGAGCGCAGGCGGUAUGGCAAGUCAGAUGUGAAAACCCAGGGCCCAACCCUGGGACUGCAUUUGAAACUGCCAUACUGGAGUGACGGAGAGGUAAGUGGAAUUCCUAGUGUAGCGGUGAAAUGCGUAGAUAUUAGGAGGAACACCAGUGGCGAAGGCGGCUUACUGGACGGUAACUGACGCUGAGGCUCGAAAGCGUGGGGAGCAAACAGGAUUAGAUACCCGGGUAGUC
This 443-nucleotide ribosomal RNA is filed under the name uncultured bacterium. RNAcentral's name for it is "partial 16S ribosomal RNA". It matches the Rfam family "Bacterial small subunit ribosomal RNA", at positions 338 to 795 of the family's 1533-position model. The record is from RNAcentral.